This 1473-nucleotide ribosomal RNA is filed under the name metagenome. RNAcentral's name for it is "bacterial SSU rRNA". It matches the Rfam family "Bacterial small subunit ribosomal RNA". The record is from RNAcentral.
AGAGUUUGAUCCUGGCUCAGGACGAACGCUGGCGGCGUGCCUAACACAUGCAAGUCGAACGGACGAGGCCCCUUCGGGGACCGAGUUAGUGGCGGACGGGUGAGUAACGCGUGAGCAACCUGCCUUUCAGAGGGGGACAACAGUUGGAAACGACUGCUAAUACCGCAUGAUGCAGCGAGAUCGCAUGGUCUUGCUGUCAAAGAUUUAUCGCUGAAAGAUGGGCUCGCGUCUGAUUAGCUAGUUGGAGGGGUAACGGCCCACCAAGGCGACGAUCAGUAGCCGGACUGAGAGGUUGAACGGCCACAUUGGGACUGAGAUACGGCCCAGACUCCUACGGGAGGCAGCAGUGGGGAAUAUUGGGCAAUGGGGGAAACCCUGGCCCAGCAACGCCGCGUGAAGGAAGAAGGCUUUCGGGUUGUAAACUUCUUUUACCAGGGACGAAGAACGUGACGGUACCUGGAGAAAAAGCCACGGCUAACUACGUGCCAGCAGCCGCGGUAAUACGUAGGUGGCAAGCGUUGUCCGGAUUUACUGGGUGUAAAGGGCGUGUAGGCGGAGCUGCAAGUCAGAUGUGAAAUCUGGGGGCUUAACCCUCAAACUGCAUUUGAAACUGUAGCCCUUGAGUAUCGGAGAGGCAGGCGGAAUUCCUAGUGUAGCGGUGAAAUGCGUAGAUAUUAGGAAGAACACCAGUGGCGAAGGCGGCCUGCUGGACGACAACUGACGCUGAGGCGCGAAAGCGUGGGGAGCAAACAGGAUUAGAUACCCUGGUAGUCCACGCUGUAAACGAUGAAUACUAGGUGUGGGGGGACUGACCCCCUCCGUGCCGGAGUUAACACAAUAAGUAUUCCACCUGGGGAGUACGACCGCAAGGUUGAAACUCAAAGGAAUUGACGGGGGCCCGCACAAGCAGUGGAUUAUGUGGUUUAAUUCGACGCAACGCGAAGAACCUUACCGGGAUUUGACAUCCUACUAACGAAGCAGAGAUGCAUUAGUGCCCUUCGGGGAAAGUAGAGACAGGUGGUGCAUGGUUGUCGUCAGCUCGUGUCGUGAGAUGUUGGGUUAAGUCCCGCAACGAGCGCAACCCCUAUUGUUAGUUGCUACGCAAGAGCACUCUAGCGAGACUGCCGUUGACAAAACGGAGGAAGGCGGGGACGACGUCAAAUCAUCAUGCCCCUUAUGUCCCGGGCUACACACGUAAUACAAUGGCGGUCAACAAAGGGAAGCAAAGCCGCGAGGCAGAGCAAACCCCCAAAAGCCGUCUCAGUUCGGAUUGCAGGCUGCAACUCGCCUGCAUGAAGCUGGAAUUGCUAGUAAUCGUGGAUCAGAAUGCCACGGUGAAUACGUUCCCGGGCCUUGUACACACCGCCCGUCACACCAUGAGAGUCGGGAACACCCGAAGUCCGUAGUCUAACCCGCAAGGGAGGGCGCGGCCGAAGGUGGGUCUGAUAAUUGGGGUGAAGUCGUAACAAGGUA